CUAUCUCAAUUGGUACCAACUCAGAAGAAAACAAGUUUGAAACACCGACAUCCUCAAUAGGCACUACUAUAGAAGGGUCAACCAUACAUCUUUUUAGCAUAGAAACAUGGUGGGAUGAAUAGAAGCCAAACUUACUGGCACAUCCAAAUCAUACACAACAUUCCCAAUUCUCCUAACAACCUAAUACAAACCAAUGUAAUGGGUUCUUAACUUCCCCUUCUUCAAAAAUCUCAU
This 234-nucleotide long non-coding RNA is filed under the name Capsicum annuum. RNAcentral describes it as "long non-coding RNA (CANN_LNC006995)". Lineage: Eukaryota; Viridiplantae; Streptophyta; Magnoliopsida; Solanales; Solanaceae. The record is from RNAcentral.